Molecule: non-coding RNA, 108 nt
Organism: Myotis lucifugus (little brown bat)
Lineage: Eukaryota; Metazoa; Chordata; Mammalia; Chiroptera; Vespertilionidae
Source: Rfam
UUGCUUUUACAGCCAAUAUACUAAACAAUACAGAGAACAAUACAGAGAAAUUUGGCAUGACUCCUACGCAUAGAUGACACACAGAUUUGUGAAGCAUUUUAUAUGUUU